UUUAACUAACCAACCCAAAGAGAAUAAAUUUAACCAUUAAGGAAUAACAACAAUCUCCAUGAGUUGGUAGUUUCGGUUGGGGUGACCUCGGAGAAUAAAAAAUCCUCCGAGCGAUUUUAAAGACUAGACCCACAAGUCAAAUCACUCUAUCGCUCAUUGAUCCAAAAACUUGAUCAACGGAACAAGUUACCCUAGGGAUAACAGCGCAAUCCUAUUCAAGAGUCCAUAUCGACAAUAGGGUUUACGACCUCGAUGUUGGAUCAGGACAUCCUGAUGGUGCAACCGCUAUCAAAGGUUCGUUUGUUCAACGAUUAAAGUCCUACGUGAUCUGAGUUCAGACCGGAGUAAUCCAGGUCGGUUUCUAUCUAUUACGUAUUUCUCCCAGUACGAAAGGACAAGAGAAAUAAGGCCAACUUUAAAUCAAGCGCCUUAAGACAACCAAUGAUAACAUCUCAACUGACAACACAAAACCCUGCCCUAGAACAGGGCUUA
This 492-nucleotide ribosomal RNA is filed under the name Bos taurus (domestic cattle). Its description in RNAcentral is "partial large subunit ribosomal RNA". It matches the Rfam family "Bacterial large subunit ribosomal RNA", at positions 2100 to 2830 of the family's 2925-position model. The record is from RNAcentral. Lineage: Eukaryota; Metazoa; Chordata; Mammalia; Artiodactyla; Bovidae.